UUAAAGACUAUGAUUGGAAAGAGUAGGAAGCCAUACCUUCAAAGAGAGCAGAGUUUGGUGGGAGUCUGCAGGGUUAACUUUUGAAAAUCAUCCAUGAGUUGCAUCCUGAAACGUUAAAAUCUUAAAGUAAGUAAGGAGUGCCGGUUAAAGCCGUUAUUUAACAAGUGAUUACUAUAUUUUAUUUUGUAUGGUGAUAAUUUGGGUGGAACCGCGUGAGUAAAUUACCCUCUCGUCCCUUAU
This 240-nucleotide non-coding RNA is filed under the name Pseudobacteroides cellulosolvens. Its description in RNAcentral is "T-box sequence". It matches the Rfam family "T-box leader". Rfam says of the family: Uncharged tRNA acts as the effector for transcription antitermination of genes in the T-box leader family. T-boxes are found upstream of many aminoacyl-tRNA synthetase genes and some amino acid biosynthetic genes usually in Gram-positive bacteria. The record is from RNAcentral. Lineage: Bacteria; Bacillati; Bacillota; Clostridia; Eubacteriales; Oscillospiraceae.